RNAcentral lists this ribosomal RNA (861 nucleotides) under Triticum aestivum (bread wheat). RNAcentral describes it as "partial small subunit ribosomal RNA". The record is from RNAcentral. Lineage: Eukaryota; Viridiplantae; Streptophyta; Magnoliopsida; Poales; Poaceae.
GUUGCAGGGACAACAUUGAACUAUUUUCUGGGCGACCAGAUCAACAAGGCGGAGGUUCUCUUCUUGGGCGUCGGAUGCUUUCUGAUUGCAGCCUGCCUAGGCUCACUUGUUCACUCCUCCAAUGCUGCUGACAACCAGGAGAAGCUAUUAAACUCCAGAAACUCUGUUGGGAACACUGCAAAGUAAGAUCUCACCCAGCACCUUCUUCAAGAAGAAGAACCAAAGGAUUGUGAAGCAGCAAAGCCUGCAGUACCAUAUAAAGCCGUGGAGAAAGCCGAGGCAGGAACGGCAGAUUUCCUCGUCGACCUCGAGGACAAGAGAUCAAUCAAGGUUCUCGGGUCCAACACGCUGGUGGGGCUGGCGAUCGUGAUGUUCGCGGGGGUAUGCUACUCGCUGUUCGCGCCGGCGUUCAACCUGGAGACCAACGAUCAGUGGCACAAGCUGCGCGACGGCGUGCCGCACCUGGUGGUCUACACCGCCUACUUCUACUUCUGCCUCUCCUACCUGGUGGUGGGCGUGGCGCUCAACGUGUUGUGCCUCUACCGCCCCUUGACCGGCGUGCCGCGAUCCACGAUCCACACUGCGGGCUUACGGCGGCGACCGGGAGGGGAGAGGGGGAUGGCGCUGCUGGCGGGUCUGGUGUUCGGGCUGGGCAACGCGUUCGCGUUCAUGGCCGGGUACGCGGCGGCGGACUCCGUGCAGGGGCUGCCGCUGGUGAGCAUGCGCUGGGGCGUGUUGCUGUUCGGGGAGUACCGCAGGUCGUCGAGGAGGGCCUACACGCUGCUGGAGAGCAUGCUCUUCAUGUUCGUCGUCGCCAUGGCCGUGCUCAUGGCCUCGUCCGCGCACAGGAAGCCGCCCUGA